Molecule: long non-coding RNA, 222 nt
Organism: Scomber scombrus (Atlantic mackerel)
Lineage: Eukaryota; Metazoa; Chordata; Actinopteri; Scombriformes; Scombridae
Exons: 4
Source: RefSeq, a predicted model, not a curated record
AGAAACCCCGCGUGGACCGUCAGCCCAAGGCAGCCACUUCCAAGAGGAGACAGGCUCAGCAGCAGGUGAAGGCUGUUGUGGAGACUGCUCCUGUGGAAGUGGUCGUGACGCAGAGGGAUGCUCCUGCUGCCUGCGUCACAGAGUCAUCGCUCCCCAGCCCCGUGGACGUGGUCGUGACGCAGAGGGAUGCUCCUGCUGCCUGCGUCACAGAGUCAUCGCCCC